This 319-nucleotide long non-coding RNA is filed under the name Salvia miltiorrhiza (redroot sage). Its description in RNAcentral is "long non-coding RNA (SMIL_LNC004333)". The record is from RNAcentral. Lineage: Eukaryota; Viridiplantae; Streptophyta; Magnoliopsida; Lamiales; Lamiaceae.
AGAAGGGCGGCGCCGUGGCUGGGGAAACGAGCGGCGGUGACAUCAACGAUCUACGCCUCGCCGCCAUCAACCACGCCACCUCAGAUCUAGGCGGCGGCGGCCACGAGGUGGCGAGAGGGAGAAAGUAGAGGCGAGGGACAGGGAGUUCAGGGGUGGGGCGAGAGGGAGAGAGCAGAGGCCAGGGUGAGGGAGGUCGGGGGCGGCGACCGACGCUAGCGCUGGUGUCGUCUGCUUCUCGCCGGAGAAGAAGGGGGGGAGGGGAGGGGAGGUCCGCCGCGGUGAGGUAGAGAGAGAGACGUGAGAGACGAAAGGAUUAAGA